UACGUAGGGGGCAAGCGUUGUCCGGAAUCAUUGGGCGUAAAGAGCGUGUAGGCGGCUUGGUAAGUCCGCUGUGAAAGUCCAGGGCUCAACCCUGGAAUGCCGGUGGAAACUGUCAAGCUUGAGUCCGGAAGAGGCGAGUGGAAUUCCUGGUGUAGCGGUGAAAUGCGCGGAUAUCAGGAGGAACACCAAUGGCGAAGGCAGCUCGCUGGGACGGUACUGACGCUGAGACGCGAAAGCGUGGGGAGCAAACAGG
RNAcentral lists this ribosomal RNA (253 nucleotides) under uncultured bacterium. Its description in RNAcentral is "partial 16S ribosomal RNA". It matches the Rfam family "Bacterial small subunit ribosomal RNA", at positions 524 to 776 of the family's 1533-position model. The record is from RNAcentral.